ACGGGUGAGUAAUGCUUAGGAAUCUGCCUAUUAGUGGGGGACAACAUUCCGAAAGGAAUGCUAAUACCGCAUACGCCCUACGGGGGAAAGCAGGGGAUCUUCGGACCUUGCGCUAAUAGAUGAGUCUAAGUCAGAUUAGCUAGUUGGUGGGGUAAAGGCCUACCAAGGCGACGAUCUGUAGCGGGUCUGAGAGGAUGAUCCGCCACACUGGGACUGAGACACGGCCCAGACUCCUACGGGAGGCAGCAGUGGGGAAUAUUGGACAAUGGGCGAAAGCCUGAUCCAGCCAUGCCGCGUGUGUGAAGAAGGCCUUUCGGUUGUAAAGCACUUUAAGCGAGGAGGAGGCUACUGAGAUUAAUACUCUUGGAUAGUGGACGUUACUCGCAGAAUAAGCACCGGCUAACUCUGUGCCAGCAGCCGCGGUAAUACAGAGGGUGCGAGCGUUAAUCGGAUUCACUGGGCGUAAAGCGUGCGUAGGCGGCUUUUUAAGUCGGAUGUGAAAUCCCUGAGCUUAACUUAGGAAUUGCAUUCGAUACUGGGAAGCUAGAGUAUGGGAGAGGAUGGUAGAAUUCCAGGUGUAGCGGUGAAAUGC
RNAcentral lists this ribosomal RNA (592 nucleotides) under uncultured bacterium. Its description in RNAcentral is "bacterial SSU rRNA". It matches the Rfam family "Bacterial small subunit ribosomal RNA", at positions 102 to 689 of the family's 1533-position model. The record is from RNAcentral.